AUUACUCUGAUAUAGGCUUCUGGCACACUCUUCGCCUCCAAGCACCUCCAUAGCACCUCCGUAGCUGAGUCAAUAGAACAUAUAUUCUUGUUGCUGCUGUUAUUUAAAUUAGGUACAGAAAUUGAAAGACAUUCUAUUUCAUAUUCUAUUUAUUUGCACCUUAGGGAACUGAUAAUAGUUUUGGAUUGAAGCGGAAAACAUAGUUUAGGUGCCAAUUUCCGAACCCCCUAGUUGAUAUAUUAUUUUAUCUUUGAUACCCACUUGGAACAUAAUGAUGACAUCAAAUUUAAUUGCUUCGCUGUCUUUUUCGUUUUCGAGGGUCGAUUGGAAACAGCCUCUCUGCCCUUUCGGGUAGGGGUAAGGCUCGUCUACAUAUUACCCUCCCCAGACCCCACCUGGUGGGAUUAUACUGNNNNNNGCCCUUUCGGGUAGGGGUAAGGCUCGUCUACAUAUUACCCUUCCCAGACCCCACCUGGUGGGAUUAUACUGGGUAGUUGUUGUUGUUGUUGUUGUCUUUUUUCGUUUUCUUUCCCAUUCUCAGUUUGCAACAUUUGUUCAUUUGUUCCCAUUCUCCGCUCCUCCUCGCUUGAGCUCCCUGCAAACCUAGCGAACGCCGCCUUCUUCACCUCCACUUUUCCCUUGACUACCUCGUUCCACCACCAANNNN
RNAcentral lists this long non-coding RNA (667 nucleotides) under Nicotiana benthamiana. RNAcentral's name for it is "long non-coding RNA (NBEN_LNC024621)". Lineage: Eukaryota; Viridiplantae; Streptophyta; Magnoliopsida; Solanales; Solanaceae. The record is from RNAcentral.